GGACGAACGCUGGCGGCGUGCUUAACACAUGCAAGUCGAGCGGUAAGGCCCUUUCGGGGGUACACGAGCGGCGAACGGGUGAGUAACACGUGGGUGACCUGCCCUCAGCUCUGGGAUAAGCCUGGGAAACCGGGUCUAAUACUGGAUAUGACUCCAUGACGCAUGUUGUGGGGUGGAAAGCCUUGUGCGGCUGAGGAUGGGCCCGCGGCCUAUCAGCUUGUUGGUGGGGUGANGGCCUACCAAGGCGACGACGGGUAGCCGGCCUGAGAGGGCGACCGGCCACACUGACACUGAAUAACGGGUCAGACUCCUACGGGAGGCAGCAGUCGGGAAUUUGGGCAAUGGGCGAAAGCCUGACCCAGCAACGCCGCGUGAAGGAUGAAGUAUUUCGGUAUGUAAACUUCGAAAGAAUAGGAAGAAUAAAUGACGGUACUAUUUAUAAGGUCCGGCUAACUACGUGCCAGCAGCCGCCGUAAG
RNAcentral lists this ribosomal RNA (477 nucleotides) under uncultured bacterium. RNAcentral describes it as "bacterial SSU rRNA". It matches the Rfam family "Bacterial small subunit ribosomal RNA", at positions 27 to 524 of the family's 1533-position model. The record is from RNAcentral.